GGUUGUUGGUGGUUGCACCUGAGAUGGGUUUAUGAGGGAAUCAUCAUCUACUUUGUCUCACUCUGAUUCAGACACUUAUCUAUCAUCUCAUGUGGGUCGGUCUUUGGGCUUUUAAUUAUGAGGACGACACCAAAAGUGUGUGUUCAGUUUACGUUAAACCCAGUAUUUAUCUGUGGUAUGAUUCAGCUUAUAAACACAACUUAUUACCAAAAGCUAGGAAGUAAUUAAGUAUUUUUGUAUUUCACAUCUUCCACAAGUUGAUCUCUAGUUUGUUUCCUAGCCUAUACUACACUGGUGAAGCAGCUAGAAAUGUGCUCUUAGAUUUGCAAACACUUGUAAAAUUAUGAGAUUUCCUCUGUUUCUUCUCAUUUGUUUUUUAGUUGUAACGCUUCGAUCAAGAAACCCUUAUAAGAAAGACACAUUCUAUCAAGCAGCUGGGCUUUUACAGUGGAUGCAGUAAGUAAUCAAUCUAAAGAGAUCCAAAUAGUGAAAAAACCUGAAAAUGCAGAUUACAACAACUUAAUCAUUUCGUGUUUUCUGAAACUAAGUCUUGACUUUUAAUUUGGCUUGGCCUCGAAGAUCUGAUUAGAAAAUCAAAUCAACACCUGUCCUCACUCUAGGUUAGCAAAUACUUGUACCUGUUCUGCUGCGCUUGUUAUUCAUAGAUGGAGUGGAACCGAGUUUGCA
Long non-coding RNA from Arabidopsis thaliana (thale cress), 687 nucleotides. RefSeq annotates it as other RNA. NCBI's taxonomy places the organism in Eukaryota, Viridiplantae, Streptophyta, Magnoliopsida, Brassicales, Brassicaceae. The transcript has a single exon. The record is from RefSeq.